Molecule: ribosomal RNA, 497 nt
Filed under: uncultured bacterium
Lineage: Bacteria
Description: partial 16S ribosomal RNA
Rfam family: Bacterial small subunit ribosomal RNA
Source: RNAcentral
GAUGAACGCUGGCGGCGUGCCUAAUACAUGCAAGUCGAGCGAACGGACGAGAAUCUUGCUUCUCUGAUGUUAGCGGCGGACGGGUGAGUAACACGUGGAUAACCUACCUAUAAGACUGGGAUAACUUCGGGAAACCGGAGCUAAUACCGGAUAAUAUUUUGAACCGCAUGGUUCAAAAGUGAAAGACGGUCUUGCUGUCACUUAUAGAUGGAUCCGCGCUGCAUUAGCUAGUUGGUAAGGUAACGGCUUACCAAGGCAACGAUGCAUAGCCGACCUGAGAGGGUGAUCGGCCACACUGGAGCUGAGACACGGUCCAGACUCCUACGGGAGGCAGCAGUAGGGAAUCUUCCGCAAUGGGCGAAAGCCUGACGGAGCAACGCCGCGUGAGUGAUGAAGGUCUUCGGAUCGUAAAACUCUGUUAUUAGGGAAGAACAUAUGUGUAAGUAACUGUGCACAUCUUGACGGUACCUAAUCAGAAAGCCACGGCUAACUACGUG